GGUUCAAUUCGACGCAACGCGAAGAACCUUACCCAGGCUUGAACAGCGAGUGACCACUCCUGAAAGGGAGCUUCCGCAAGGACACUCGUAGAGGUGCUGCAUGGCUGUCGUCAGCUCGUGUCGUGAGAUGUUGGGUUAAGUCCCGCAACGAGCGCAACCCUUGUCUUCUGUUGCCAUCAGGUUAUGCUGGGCACUCUGGAGAGACUGCCGGUGAUAAACCGGAGGAAGGUGGGGAUGACGUCAAGUCAGCAUGGCCUUUAUGUCUGGGGCUACACACGUGCUACAAUGGCCGGCACAAACCGUCGCGAGCCCGCAAGGGGGAGCUAAUCGGAGAAAGUCGGUCUCAGUUCGGAUCGUCGGCUGCAACUCGCCGGCGUGAAGUUGGAAUCGCUAGUAAUCGCGGAUCAGCACGCCGCGGUGAAUACGUUCCCGGGCCUUGUACACACCGCC
Molecule: ribosomal RNA, 450 nt
Filed under: uncultured Acidobacteriota bacterium
Lineage: Bacteria; Pseudomonadati; Acidobacteriota
Description: bacterial SSU rRNA
Rfam family: Bacterial small subunit ribosomal RNA
Source: RNAcentral